AGUCUGUGAUGAGGGAUUAAUAUCUGCUACUUUUGAUGGCAAAUGACAAUGGCCAUCUGAUGAUUUUUAGUCCACCAAGAUCUCUGAGACU
Small nucleolar RNA from Zingiber officinale, 91 nucleotides. RefSeq annotates it as small nucleolar RNA SNORD24. Lineage: Eukaryota; Viridiplantae; Streptophyta; Magnoliopsida; Zingiberales; Zingiberaceae. The transcript has a single exon. The record is from RefSeq and is a predicted model, not a curated record.